This 332-nucleotide unclassified non-coding RNA is filed under the name soil metagenome. RNAcentral describes it as "partial contains 5.8S ribosomal RNA, internal transcribed spacer 2, and large subunit ribosomal RNA". The stretch from base 1 to 120 matches the Rfam family "5.8S ribosomal RNA", at positions 35 to 154 of the family's 154-position model. The record is from RNAcentral.
GAUGAAGAACGUAGUAAAAUGCGAUAAGUAAUGUGAAUUGCAGAAUUCAGUGAAUCAUCGAAUCUUUGAACGCACAUUGCGCCCGCCAGUAUUCUGGCGGGCAUGCCUGUUCGAGCGUCAUUUCAACCCUCUAGCACAGCUUGGUGUUGGGACUCGCGUUAAUUCGCGUUCCUCAAAUUGAUUGGCGGUCACGUCGAGCUUCCAUAGCGUAGUAGUAAAACCCUCGUUACUGGUAAUCGUCGCGGCCACGCCGUUAAACCCCAACUUCUGAAUGUUGACCUCGGAUCAGGUAGGAAUACCCGCUGAACUUAAGCAUAUCAAUAAGCGGAGGA